CGCCAGACUCCUACGGGAGGCAGCAGUGGGGAAUAUUGCACAAUGGGGGAAACCCUGAUGCAGCGACGCCGCGUGAGCGAUGAAGUAUUUCGGUAUGUAAAGCUCUAUCAGCAGGGAAGAAGAUGACGGUACCUGACUAAGAAGCCCCGGCUAACUACGUGCCAGCAGCCGCGGUAAUACGUAGGGGGCAAGCGUUAUCCGGAUUUACUGGGUGUAAAGGGAGCGUAGACGGCGAUGCAAGCCAGAUGUGAAAGCCCGGGGCUCAACCCCGGGACUGCAUUUGGAACUGUGUGGCUGGAGUGUCGGAGAGGCAGGCGGAAUUCCUAGUGUAGCGGUGAAAUGCGUAGAUAUCAGGAGGAACACCGGCGGCGAAGGCGGCCUGCUGGACCGUGACUGACGUUGAGGCUCGAGAGCGUGGGGAGCAAACAGGAUUAGAUACCCCGGUA
This 446-nucleotide ribosomal RNA is filed under the name uncultured bacterium. RNAcentral describes it as "bacterial SSU rRNA". It matches the Rfam family "Bacterial small subunit ribosomal RNA", at positions 329 to 792 of the family's 1533-position model. The record is from RNAcentral.